GUUAAGUUUUCGCGCUGGGAUUCAAAAUAUUUUAAAAAUCACCCAGAAGUUUUUGUGUGUGCAAGAAACUUCCUGCUGUUUGGAGACGUUACAUCUGAAAUGCUCAUAUGCUGGUAGUUGUUGGUGCUGCAGAUGACGGGAUUCUUACACUGUAGACAUGCAUGUAUGAGUCUACCAAAACUUUUAAAAUCAGUAAAAUCAGUAUAUAGUAAGUCACAUGAAGAAAAAAUCAUCAUUUAAAAAACUUCUCCAGAGUCUUCAGUUACUUUUAUCGUCGUCUCUGGAUUGGAUAAUAAUUAAUUUAGAUGGAUAAAAUAUUUGACUGUAAAUUUACAACUACUUUACAGUAAUUCACUGUCAAUAUUUCACAGUGGUUAACUUUGCCUGUGUUGAUUUCAAUGUAAAAUUUGACGUUACAAUACUGUAUUGUGAACAUUGCAAUUAAAGCCUGUGAAGUGAAUCCAAGAGUAAAAUAAUGUAAAAUUCUGGUAGUAAUUUAGUGGAGAAAAGGAGACAGGUUUCAGAAACAAUAUUUCUCGUUGUUAUUCUAAGUGUAUAUUUUUGGAGACUGUCUUGACAAAAAUGAGGCUAAAAAUAGUGAAAAGAAAACAUAUGAAGUGUUGACAGUGGUAAAUUUGAUUAUUUCAUUUCAGCUCAUUUCAAACUCAAAACCAGCAACAUGAUUAAUAAAAAAGUUUGGACGGAGAUGACAAAACUGAAAAAAAAUCUCCUUCAAUGAUUUUGAUUUCCUAAAGAUUGACUUUAAAAAGUCAGAGAGUCUCUUAGAAAUGAAGCCUGGCUGUUACACUAUGAGAGAUCACAUGAGCGAAUACUUUGUCACUUCUAUAAUAAUGUAAAAUCAUCAACAGUACUCUCAUACAUGCAUUAAAAGAUUCAGCGCAUCUAAGGCUGUCAACCAUGACUGUGAGCGUCUGCCCUUGGGUGGCUCUUCAUUGAAGACAGACACGACUCUGUAGUGGACAUCACCGUAAAUGCAGCUUUAAACUCGGUCAGUGAGGAGAAAACCGUGAACAUAAUCUGAAAACACCUGUAAUGUUUUCAUCGACAUCAUUUAAAUUUCUUUGGUAAAACCACAAAAAGUGGAGCUGGGAUGUUGAUGAUUGCAGAUACUAAAUGUUCUAACUACUUUAAAAUCUUUUACUAUUUUCAGUUUUUCAAUAACAGUUUCAAUGCUGAAUUGACUUCCUGUCACUGUUUGGAAAGACUCAGGAAAUCCUCAGGGACUUUUUUUUCAGUUUUGAUCCUUUUUCACCUCGAGCCAUUUUCAGCCUCCCUGCAGAGUCCCGUCCCCUCCCUUUUUUUUAGCGCUCACCCCCAGGCCGUCCUCAACUCUCACAGACCUCCUAUCCUCUGAUGUAACCCUCCUCACUGUGACACCGCAUCCCCCCACCCUCUUCUUCUUCUUCCUCGUCCUCACCCUCCCACUCUCCCUGUUUCUGGGUCUCUCGUCCUGUGUGGGCCCCCGUCAGCAGCUCAGGGUCAGCUACAGUUUCAGAAAUCCUGCUCUCACUGCUGUCACCUAUCUACUUAGCUGUGACCCCCCACCCCCCACCACCCCCAUCUCACAACACACACCAAGCCACAAACCACACUGCUGCUGCUGUCACACCGUUUCCUCCCGAUGCUCUUAAAAUUGAUUUCUUUGAGCUGGUGUUGCUUUAUGAGUUUUUUGUUUUGUUUUGAACUUUAAUCAGAUUUUCAUUAAGAAAACAAUAUAAUGUAUAGAUAAUGGAGGAGUCUUAUUUCACUCGAUUAUAUUCUUUAUCGCAUCAACACCAAUACAAAGAAAAUGUUAAUCUUAUCUUUGAUGGUCUUGUUUGCAUUAAUCUUGAUUUCAGUCAGAUUCAGGAAAAACUCCCCAUUAGAGCUUUAAGUUACUUUAUAAAGAUCCCCGGUUUAGAGAUGCUCACACCAGCUCUGAUGCAGGUGCAAGGACUGCUUCCCUUUCCUCUUUCAGACAUGGCUCCUCAGGCUGCCCUCACAUCCCUAACCACUACAUUUGUUUAUCUCCAGACUCUCAAGACCAAACAUGAGACUUAAAUUAAGGUUUUUCCACAGUGUCAACAGGCAGAGGUCAAAGUUCUGCAGAUUAAUUUAGCAAAGCGUGUUUGAUCGGGUUCACAUCUGACUUAUGGAGUUUCAGCCAAUCAGAAUCAAGUAUUUACCACACCCAGGUUAUAACCUAUUUAGCCUUAUGAACAGAAAACCUUCAGCAGUCAUUUAUCGUGUAAGUGUUACCAAACUGCAUCUGUUUUACUGCUUUAACCAUGCGUUAAAUUAAUGUACAACUUCGAAUUGCAAAAGCUCAAGUUUUAUUUUGAAAGGACAUCUUGAACACUUCCUAAGCCUCUGUAAAACAUGGCAAACAUGCAGAAGUCAUUUCUCCUCUCUCUGUUUGGAUGUGUGUCAUAUUUUUAUCUUAUCUUAUCUCAUCUGGAUUUUCUAAACAGAUCUGAUUUCUGUUUGUAAAAACAGAAAGCAUCAGUGAGCUGUAACUCUUCAUCUCUUCACUCUGCUGGAGAAAAAAAACUGUAUUGGCAGGCUCGCAGUUAGUCCUCAUUACAUAUUGAUACAGUUGAACAUACAGUAAAGUGUGUAUUAAGUAUUAAGCACUUUAAAUUUUUCCCUCUCUCCAAAUUUGUGAGCCAAAUUUGUGCAUCUUUAAUGUUUUAUUUACUUGCAGCUGGUGAGCCACGGUAUAAUAAUUUCUGCCUCUGCUGUGGGGAGCUGGGGUUUAUCGUGUCGCACACUCCUGGGUGGUACUGCUGCUUUGCAUACAUGCACACACACACACACAUAGAUAGAUAUACAGGCAAAUGUGGGGAACAGUCACGGGUCACAAGCAACGAUCGAUGCAACAUCCAUUGUAACACUGCAUACUAGGCUGUUAUGUGCUUAUUAUUGCUGAGAGAGCUCAUGAGGAAGCUCUGGCCAUGUCUCAGGUUGUAGUUUUCAGCAGGUGCAGCAGGUGUGGAAGAGGAGAUGUCGAUGGUGUCUUUGUUUUCUGGCAAGUUUAAUCUCAAAACCUUAUGUCCUGACAAAAACUACAUUUUUCUUCUUCAGCUCAGCCCAUAAUCAAGAGAAGCACACUCUCGGGGAAACACACAUCCAAUUUUCUGUGUGAACCUGAUGCCGCAGUGUGGUUUGAGGGUCAGGCCUCCUCCUCCUCCUCCUCCUCCUCCUCCUCCUCCAGCAGCAGCAGCAGCAGCGGUCAGUGUUUGUUUGGUUAAAACUGCACGACAACGAGGUCGGAUUUCACAGAGAGGGAAGAGAGAGACGGCAAAUAUGACACCUCUCCUCAGCAUCCCUUAGACACACUGAUACACCAUACACACACACACACACACACACACAGCAUCAAACACACACCACCACACACCUUUUGUUUACUAAACAUUCCACCUUUGAAAUAUUUAUUACAACUGGGAGUCUCAGUGUGUGUAUGUGUGUGUGUGUGUGUGUGUGUGUGUGUGUGUGUGUGUGUGUGUGUGUGUGUGUGUGUGUCUGUCUGUGUGUGAGGUUACCUCAGAGACAGCUGAUUAUCAGGGAAGAGGAGAUGAUAAUAGUGUGUAAAAGAGGCAUGUGUCACACCGAUACUCAUUUAUAUAUAGACAGAGAUAUGCGUCACACUUCAUACUGUCAGCUUCUUCACCUGUACUUCAAGUUAUUUUAUUCCUGCAUGUUUCAUAUUUUCAAACAUAUGCAUUUAUUUUAAUUAAUAACACUUUUUCUCAUGCAAAUCUUUUAAUACAGGACUGACUUUCAGUCAAAUGUUUGUUUUUUUUUUAAAGCUGACACUUCUGCACACUGACACUGAAAUCCUGUGGAAAUCUGAAUGCAAAACAAAGUGGUGAGCAGAAGAGAUGCACUAAUUCAUCUUUGCACAUUCUUGCACACCAAGCAGACGUAUUAUCAUAGUGAAUCUGUGUGAUCAAUAAGUGAUCAAGGCCUGUGCGAUGCUUUCUCCGCCAUCUCGUUCCUGCUGCAGAAUGUGCAAACUACGGUAGCCCUCAAGGUCAAUGGUAGAAAUAUUUCAGGAGUGCAAUAAUUUGGUAUGCAGAUGUUAUUUAAAAAUUAUUGCAUGUUUUUAUAAUCUAUUUGCAAUUAUGUGAAAUAUCUUUAUGUUUUGCAUUUUUUUAUGAAACAUAAUUUAUUAACCUUCUGAAAUAUCUAUACCAUUGACCUUUUAGGGCCACCGUACAUGCCUGGAACUCCAUCAGCAUGAAGAUUAUCACUCUUAGACAAACAUCAGGUAUGUCGUAAAUGUAAGGUUACAAAGGUCUGUGCGCCGGCUGAGGAAUCGAGUACAUUCGCACUUCACACGCCAGUUUUGACCGUGAACAAUGAAAACGAUACCUGAACCAGCAGAAAUCAGUCUGGACAGCGCACAUGGAUCCACAUGGGGAAUAGGUUGAGAUAUAUGGAAGAGCCAGAGGUCACAGAGGUCAAAGGUCACAGGCUUCCACAUGUAACUUGAGAUUGGAGAUGAUAUACUGUAGGUCAAAGGUCGAGGUUGUUACUUUUUCUCUUUUGUCGCUCCGGCUCUAUUUCAUCUUUCAUCAUGUUAAAGAUCGGCUCUGAUGUGAUGACAGUUAUCUCACAUUUUCACGCACAAAAACACACACUAUCCCACACACACACACACGCACACACUUACACACACUUACACACAGAGUCUGAAUCUGUCUGCCGCUCUUUAAUCACGUUUAGCUUCAUUGUUUUAAUUUCCCAGCUCAUCGCUCUCCCUCCUCUCUCCUGAAUCUCAUUGGACAAUGAAAUCAGGAGUAAAGUGGGACUGAUCCUCAUAAAUCAUUAAGCAAGGUUUGUUUUGCCUUGUGAAUGUAAUUAAUACAUAAUUAAUAUUUAAAGAUCCUCUCGUUUAUCAAAAUUAAUUUCUCUGCUGCGACAGAUGCAAAGAUGGAGGAAAACAAACAAACGAAUGGAGGAGGUGGGUUUUUUUCUGGAGGAAGGGAAGAGAGCGAGAAACAAAGGAGGGAGGUGAAGAGAAAUUAGCGGUAAUGAGGAACAAAUGAGGCGACGUCUUAAUUAGCUGACAGGUAGUGGCUCAGUCCCAGAGGAAGAAGAGGUGAAUUUAGCCUCCCUGUCAGGUUGUACAUGGCUUUGUUUGCAUAAUUCAAAGUUAAAAAAAAGAAAGAUUGAACUUCAGACUAUUUUUUAAUUGACUACAAGAUAAUUAGGCAAAAUAUUGUGCAAAUAAUUGCAUCUCUCUCUCUCUCUCUCUCUCGCUCUCUCUUUCUUCACUCGUCCUCCGCCUCUGGAGACUGUCACAAGAGCGAGUUGUUCAGUGCCGUUAAGUGGGACCACUUUACCCUGUCAAUACUUUGAAUAGAGCCGUAUUGACCUGUGCCAUGAGACGACUUCACAGAGAGAGAGAGAGAGAGAGAGAGAGAGAGAGAGGAUGGAAAAAUAAGAAAAAUAAAAGAUGGAGAGAAGUAAGAUGAUAGGAGUCGUAUUUUCUGUAUUUUAAAUUGAUUUUUAUUCAGUCAUUUCUCUUAUUUUUUUACCUUUAUGAUUGUCAGUUUGUCUGAUACAGAGUCGCUGUUGUGAUGCUUCACCAAGACGCAUCUACCAGUCUAGAAAGCCAAGGUGCUGAAAACUGCAGUUCCUCCAGUGUCCACUUGGGGCUGGCUCCAAAAGUAUCAGCAACCACACACACAUAAAAAAAGCAGAUUUUUACAACAAAUAACCUUUUUUUUUCUGGUUUAUCUGAAUAUCUUCUAUCUAUCACAGAGUUCUUUUUUUAAAUUUUAUAUAAUUUUUGAAGAUAUUAACACUUCAAUGCCUGAAACCACAAAUUAUGGCCAGAAAAUUCUUUUUUUUUUUUUUGGAGCUGAAAUGUUUAUUUUACUUACGACUGAAAACCAAAAAAAUCCAAAUGUCCUUAAAUGUUUGAUACAUCAGAUGUUUUUGGAAACUGAUAAACCACAAGAGGACAUUUUAAUCAUUUAUCUGACUGUGUUAAGGUGUUUUUUUUUUUUUUGUAAUUUGUUGAUCAUAUUGAUUGAUAGAAGUAUUAUAAAAGUAUGUAUCAAAUAUGAUACAAAGGGCAAUAAAGGGUUAAGGUGACAAAUUUUGCAGCAUUGGACACACAGCGGACUCGGACAUCUGGGCAUAAUGUAGCUGUAGGCGAGGAAGUUUAAGGCCUACCUCUUUGACUCUUGGUAGGUUGAGUUAGCCUUUCUGAUAUGGUGAGCACUGCCAAUAAGCUUUUAAACUAUGCUUCAGAUACAGGUGAUGUUACUCACGUCAUACAUUUAGAGGCUUAAGUCCUAGCUGUUGUGGUCGUGACCCUUUGCUUCAUGCUGUUGUCGCCCUUUCUCCUCAAUAACCUGCAACACAAUGGAAAGAGAUGUUGGGCUUUUUAGAAAUGGAGCUGAAUUAAAAAAAACAAAAAAACAAGUAGGACCUAAAAUGGAGCCUUGAGGAACUCCUGAAACUAGAGGGGCUGCUUUUGAAUAUUACUGGCCAAGAUGAAUGGAGAACCUCAAACCUCAAACCAUGACGUGAGAGUCUGGUGAUCGUCUGCAUCAAAUGUCAAAAGCGGCAAAGCAGUCAAGUCCAGAAACAGAGAGUGGUAGAGGUUCAUAUGUUUGCACGUACACCUGCAUGACUGAAUAAAAGAGCAGAGGGCAUCAAACACACACACACACACACACACACACACACACACUUCCUGGGCCCUGUGCUCUGAUGAAAGCAGUUCCUGGCUAAUGGGUUAAUUUCAUUCCACUGCUCUCUGCCAUGUUGAGGACAAUUAGCCCAGAAUGGAGCUGUGAAUAUUUAAUGACAUCCACUGCAAAGGUAGAAAGAGAGAGAGAGAGAGAGAGAGAAAGAGAGAGCCUUGGUUGGGAGAUUGGAGGGUCAGAAAGCAGAAGAAAUUCCUGCUCAGAGAAGAAGGAAGGCAGAACGACGGGAUGAUAUUGGACCUCAGGUUUAGCUGUAACUGUCCAAGACUCUUAAGUAUAUGAACCUUUCUUAAGUUUAGCCAAAGAUCACGGGCUUUAGAAACACAAGAAAAGUCAUGUACUGCAGCACACAGGUUGGUGUGUCUUUGUAUUGCAUGACCAUAUUGUACAGUGUGCAUCUUUUCAAUAAAUAAUAAAUAAAUAACACACCUUUACUUCUCCUCACUGAAAAAUAAACUUUGCAAACUUUCCUCACAGGUCUCAAAGUUUUUGACUUCUACCUUCAGAGUUGACGAAGACUGAAGAAACUCGAUCAAUUUUACAAGAUCUCAACUUUGCGAAGCGCUCCAGCUUUAAAUUUAAAAGACAAAGAAUGAAGAAAUGAUGUUUACACCGCUGGACCACGGUUCAGUACCUUGUCACUUUGGACUUUCAAACUCACAAUUAAGUUGAAUACAAGAUGGCGGACUGGCAGACGAACUUCUGAUCAGCUGGACUAUUCGGCGUGUGCCCUGAGGUGACAAGUGUAAAAGCUACACUGCGGCCUGUCAAUCAAAAUCCACCUCCAGCGCGCCGAUUCUGCAGAGAAACACAGAAAACUGAAUGAAACCCGAACACAGAGCAGCACUCCUUAAUUGGUGAAUUGAUCCUCAUCUGCCAAUCAAAACCCUGAAUUAUUAAUUGAAUGGAUGACAGUAUUGAGGAGCCUGAUUUAUUGGAUGAGGAGCUGGGAUGCUGAUGGGUUGUUAUGGUGAUGAGGGUUGUUAUGGAGAUAAUGGAGGGCUCAUGAUUGAACAGUGGAAGGUAUUGAUUGUGUGUUUGACAGCUUUACUGCCCCUCAGUGUCUGAGUGAAACAGAUUAUGUUACAUGUUUCAUGUGCAGCAUGAGAGUAAAAGUAUGAGCCGAGACUCUGUAAUGACAACUUUCAGCAGAAGGACUGAAGUGUGACAGACUGAUGGGGAUUCGCUGUGCUAGUCAGAGAUCCUGAGAGGUCUUACUUCACUAUUUACAACCCCAAUCCCCCCAAAAUCUCAACAUUGUAAAUACUGAUUCAUAAAACAAUGCUGAUGUAAAGCAUCUGACAAAACAAUGAAAAGUUGUGUAACACUUUAAAACGCCUCACAGCUAAUGAGGUUAAUUUACAACAGGUUAGUAACAUGACUAAGGCAUUCAAGAGAGGCUGUGAGAGACUGUGUGAGCAAAUAGUUCACCACUUUCAGAAUAACUUUGGGGAUUUCACCAUCUACAGUAUUCAGAAAAAAUCUGGGAAAAAUAUCUGGACUAAAGUGACAAGCUCAGAAACUUUAAAAACUGACAUGACUCCAAAUCACUCCUAAAUAUCCGUUUCUGUGAGCUCAUUUUUUUUGCUUGUUGCAUCAACAAACAGGUUAAAACUGUAAAAUGCAAAGAGGAAACCACAUGAUCCAGAAACAUUAUUGAAGCCUGUGCCAAUUUCAGAAGCCUUCCUGUCGUCUUAAAAACAAAUUUUAAAAUUCUUUUGGAAAUCAUGAACAUCACACCCUGGGGCUUGUUAUCAGCUCAGGGUUCAAAACCCAGCAUCCAUACGUGUCCAUGGCAUGGGUAGCUUGAACAUCCUGGAAGGUACUAUCAGUGCUUGUUGUGCACUUUGAGAUUUGUUUUUAAAUGUUAAGUGCGCUACAAAUAAAAUCUAUUAUUAUUAAUAUUAUUAUCAGUGCUGAACAAGUUAUACAUAUCGUCACCCUAUUAAAAUAAUGGCCUAAGUCAUUUUCGACGAAAACGAGUUUUUGGCCGAUAUCAUCUCGAAAUCAUCUCAAUAGAUGAUGUAGGACAAAAACAAAUUUUUGUCAAAAAAUGACUUAGGUCAUUAUUUUAAUAGGGGAAAAUAUGCUGCCAUGAUAAGGAAGGAAGAUGCCAAACAACAUUUUGCUUGCGAUACAUGCUCCAACCUUUCUGAAACACUUUGUCUUACCCUCUUCGUUUUCAGUGUUUGAUAUGUUGCCUUUACUCCAUCUUGAAAUGAGGCCUUUACCAGCUCACACCAGGAAAAUAGUCAUGGGUAAACACAGUGACUUUGGUAAUAAGAGCCCGCUCCACAUGCAGCCACCUUUCUGGUUAAGCUCUACCUGGAGCCGUGGGAGAGCAUAUGGCACAUGAACGGAAGGAUCAGCUCUGCAGAGUCCUGUAUACUAUCCUGUUACUCUGUGGUGACAUACAGUGAGUUGUUGUCACCGACAGCUGCUGCUCACGAACGCCACACUUGUGCCAGGACUGGUUUCGUAGCCAACGCGGCCUGUAUCUUUUAAAUUAAAGAUCCAGAGUUCGGUUUCACACACUCGACCAAGUAACAAUCAGUUUAGAAUGACUGAAAGUGUUAAAAAUGAUGUUCCUUUCAAUAGUUGAGUGCAAAUCUGUUAACAAAAGUCUCAAGAAUUAUUGAACUGCCGUUUUAUACAUGUAUGUGCAAAUUUCCCAUGAGGACUUUCUUCUUAAGUAAACCUUUCUCUUUUCAGCAAAGACAAAAACAGGGAUUCAGAUAAAUUACUCUCUCUUAGGUCACUGUCAGUUUUCUUUCUCGCUCUCUAAGCAGUUUUCUCAUCCUGGGUCUCUGGUGUAUCAGGGAGAAAUGAAGUGCAGGAGCAUAAUGCACCAUAUUGAUAUCUCACAUGUCAAAACAGGGCAAAUUACCAUCCCCUCUUAGAGUCUCUGACCCGACCUCGAGUGCAUAACAUCCGCACUUCCAGCUCAUCGAACCCUGUCAUUCAGCGGUACGAUGGAUGAUGGGUUUAGCAGGGCGGCCUUCAAACUCUGAGUUUUAAAGUCCUAUCAGUCCAGAUUAUUUCUUAUGUUGUUAGCAAAAUCAAAAGUUUACCCUGUUUUAUAUCCAGUCAAAUAAUCGAUCUGGUUUUACUAAAUUUCACAGUGUUGUAACUUGUCUGAAAGUGGGUUUGUCAGUGUGAAAAAUAUGUUUGACGUCGAGUUCAGGGGAUCUCGAUUUGUCUGAUUUUCUCUGUGUUUCUCUCUGACAGGUUCAUGAGGGGAAUCAUGACGGACCAUCAUGCAUCUAAAAGGCCAGAUGUUCGUCUCUCUGCAGCCCUUAGACCACCCACGGUGUGAGCUCAUAUCGAAGAAACCAUGAUUGGGAACUGAACUGAACCUGCUGUCUGUGAAAACUCCCCUGAAGUUUUGCUUCCAUCACAGUCCCUUUGUUUGAUGAUACGCACUUAAAAUACAGUCACCUCAAGCCGCAGUUUCACUUUUUUGUGCUGUUGCUCACGUUGUCUGGUUUGUUUUGCAGAAAUGACGUGCACGAGGGAAAAUGCACUAUAUCGAUAUCUGAUCAUGUCAGAACACAACAAAUUACCGUCCUGCCGUCUCUAAGACAGACUCCCUAAGAUUUGAUCCAUAAAUCAUCUACACUCGGCACUCAUCAGGCUGUCUCGCUCACAGGAGCAUUAAUGCGUUUUGUUGAUCAGCAUUUCAGAGGCCAUUAAGAGCAGAGAGCUUUGAUAGAAAAACACAGAGUUACAGACCUACCUGCAGAGAUCGGGAGCUAUUUUUGGACUGAUGGAUGAUGGUUCUCAUCAGGAGCAGAGUCCAAUUCUGUUUUUAUAUUCAUGAUAACACACUCAAAGUUCCCAGUACUGGAUAUCUCCUGGUAAAAACGGUCUUUUUAAUGCGAAACAAUCCACUCUAAUCAAGAAAAAUACAAAAAUCUUCAUGUUAAGUGGGAAAAAAAUCCUCUAAGAGGUAAACAAGACAUGCAGAGAUAUUGACACACAACAAGAACCAUCAAAGCGAGCACGCAGACCCACACACAGACAGUAGAUCACAGGCAUGUUUACAGACAGACAGACAGAGCAGACGGAUGAAUAAAUGAUGUGUGUGAUCUAUAAUGAAUGCCUCUCAUUCAUUACACAUUCUCACAUUCAACAGGCCACUCCACAGGCCACAACACUGUCCUCCCAGUCUGGGUCUGUAUCUGGCCAAUCACUGUGUGAGUUAGAUGAAUGCGUCUGGGAGACAGGAGGAAGAUCAUUGGUUUGUUUUGACAUCAGUGGGCGGAGUUAAAGGACCAUAGGAAUGUUUGGCUGAAUUCUACAUUUGUACAUCCGUAGGCUCUUUGAACGGACUGGUUGAAUUUGUAUACAAGAGGGUAAAAAUCACAGUGAAGUCAACUUGAAUUAAAUCAGGCAGCAUCAUACGAGUAAAGACGUGGCAGGUCUUUCUUUAAAGCAUCAAAAAGUAAAUAAACUAAAGAGCACUUUUUCAGGAAGCAAUAAGGAAGCAUCUAAUUUUCUUUAAUAAGGUCACAGGUGGUUCUGAUCCUACGCUGAGGUGAAGAAGACAUUAAAGAUGUGACCAAUGAGCUUUUAUGUUGUUUCGUGUUGAAUGGGAGGUGAUGAUCAAACAUGGCUCCCAUCUGUCCGUGUUGUGACCCGGUCGGUAUUUUACUGCACAAUCUGUUACAGGCGAGGUCAAUACCUCCAACUCAACCCCAGUUUUAAACAGUGUUGUUUUCGUCAGGCAGGACAAAAGCUAAAAUGAUGACGUCAGACCCCUUUUUUCCUUGACGAACAUGAGACUAAGACGAACGUCACCAAAGCUCUGUAAAGACUAAAAUGUGACGAAAAUUGUAUUCAUUUUUGUCAGACGAGAACGAGACGAGACUAAAUCGUUAUUAGGUGGACGAACAAAGUUUCAAAACAUGCUUUUUUUUGUCCUAACAGUCACGCCCCCAUCACACACGCACCAAAAGCCUCCUUCCUGGUCCUACUUCAGAUACAGUCCAUUAAGACGGGGGAAAAAAACAACUCACCUUUAGAAAGUUCGAUCUGUCUCAGUGUGCUUCAUUAUAAUACCUGUAUUGGCCUAUUAGAUACAUACACAUAUGUUAUGUAUAAGUAUCUUUGAUUUUUGACUAAAACUAUCAAGGAUAGAAAUGACUGAAAUGGGACUAAAACGAAGAAGCAUUUCGUCAAAAUGACUAAGACUAAAUCUAAAAUGCCAAAAACAACCCCAGUUUUAAAACACCGUCAUCAAAAAAUCCAAAACAAUCAAUCAAAACAGGCUCCUGUUACAAAACACUAUGCGGGUGAAUAGCCAAUCAUCUUCCACCUUAUGGACCGGUUAAACCAAUGUUGAUACCAGAUUCCAGGGCAGUGAUUGGCUGGUUGUAGUUGUGACUCAUAGAGCUAAAAGAGCAACAGACUGAGGAUUAAACAUCAUCCAGAUGAAGCUCAGAGAUCAGAGGAGGGAUUAGGAGAAUGAUAGUGGAUGGGAGGGGGAGUUUAGAGCGCCCUGAGGGGUGAGGAGGGAGGAGAGAAGAUGGGGAAGGGGGAGGUUAUCGCCAUUUGCUUUGUGUCUUUAUGGAUGCAGUCCCACCUCUUCAGGUUGUCCUCAGGGCAUAGUACAGUUAAAACCUUCAUUCAUGGAUGCAUUUCCAAACUUUAUCCUCAGAUGAUGGUUUUAGGAAGUGAUUCUGAGCCCAUGCAGAGGUUUCCACUCCAGAGACACGUCUGUUUUUAAUGUCUGAGGAUCAUGACCUUGUCCCUUUCCUUCAGAGAUUUCUAAAUGAUUUUGUAGACUGCAGAUGAUAAAAUCCCCCAAUCUUUGCAGUCUUACACUGAGGGACAUUAGAUCUGCUGAAUGAUUUACUCACGCAGUCUCUCACAGAGCGCUGACCCUCCUCUCAUCUUCACCCUUGCAGCCUCUUUUAUCCACAGACUUUGGACUUCAUAUAACUAAUCUGCCACUUCAUAGAAAAUCACAGGAGGGGGUAUUUAAUUAGCUGUCAUCUGGAAAACCAUGUUCCUGUUUUAUAAAAGACCAAGUUGACCUUUGACCCCUGCAGCCUGGUCCCCGCUGGGGCUGAUGGGAGCAGAACAAUGGGACCUGCAGGCCAGUGCGCUGAUCUACAAGUGUUACGGCGCCCGGGGUCAGCCGUGUUACCAUACGCUCAUGUCUGGACGGCUUUGUGCUGGCUUCACUGCACAGACACACACACACACACAGAGUUACCAUCAGAAGAUCUUAAUCAGUACUGGUAUAAUUAGAGAAAUAAUCCGAUUAUUGAUUCUGCUUUCACUCUUCGUCUGUUCGCAUGAAUCCAAGCAGAAAGAUUUAGAAGCUGUCAGACAAUGAACUCAAUGAUGGUGUGAAAAUUACACUUUUAUUGACUUACAAAGAAACAAAAUCCACUUCAAAAGUCUCUGAUUUAAAGUAUUUCUGAGAAAAGGUUUGUAACUAAAGUGAAGGUGGCGCUCUGAGCUUGGAAAGUGUUUGUAUUGGUCAGAUUUAGCAUCUAUUCAAACCAUCUCUGCCUUUCAGUUGCUUUAAGUUCAUCUUCAUCAUUCGCCCGGUUUUUCCGUUAUCCCCUGCGGGUCAAAUCUCUCCGUUUCUUUGUACCUGAGCGACAGAUUCACGCCUCUGAUUCAGCCGUUCCCUUCAUUAUCUGUUUUUGUUUGCGAGACAACAGAGGCUCAAACCGACACACUCCUCUGGUGUCUGUCGGCUUUGUGAGGCGCGUGGCGUUUCUCUUUGUCCGCAGGUCUGACUUUUGUUUCAGGGCGUGUGUGUGUGUGUGUGUGACACUUUCAGGUGUAUCUGAUGACCCGGGUAUGCUGAGACGGCGGGAGAUUUAAAAGUUGGAAACAUAAACCUUCUCCUAAGUUUUGGUUUGAAAAUGGUGAUCUCCCUUUGACCUUCUCUGACCUUCCUGAAAAAUUCUACUUACAGUACAGGACCAAUAAUGUUUACAUCGGAUGUUUUCACUCAGGAUUAAUCAAUAAAUGAUCCUACUAAAAAGAGGUUCCUUUAUGUGUGUGUAUGUGUGUGUGUGUGUGGUUUGGCCUGAGGCCUGUCAGAUAAUGCAGCGUGGAUCUAUAGCAGCAGCAGUCACAUCUGUCUCUGCGCUCUCAGACUAACCUGCCUGCUCUUAUUAUCCCCACAUUGACCCCCUCGCCCCCCGCUCGCCGUCUGUAAAACAGCUGACCAGCUGAGGCCCGACAGCCGUUCGCCCCGCAGGAAUUACCCUGAAUGAUCCGCGACACUCAAUGAUUAACUUUUAUUUUGCUCAUUUAAAAACAGGGAUUUGCUCAAGAAUUAACAAGCUAUGAAGAGGAAUCUGUGUUUGGUACUUUCGGUAACCCUUUAAUUAAUGCCAAUCACUGUAAUGCAUAAGAAAUAUAUGUAUAAUGAGUUAUAAUCACGUUAUAGCAGUUUAGUUAUAAACGCUCAUAAAUGAUCAUAAUGCUUUACAGCAAUAAUUAUAACACAUUAUAAAGCAUUUUAUCAUGACUUACAAGGUCAGGUAUUAUAGUGUGUUAUAACUGUUAACAACUCACUGACAGUGCCCACAUAGAUAAUGCAAUACAACUGUUGUUAACAGUUAUAACACAUUUUAAUACCUGACCUUGUAAGUCAUGAUAAAAUGCUUUAUAAUGUGUUUUGAUUAUUGCUGUAAAGCAUUAUGAUCAUCAAUGAGUGUUUAUAACUAUAGUUAUACAGUGCUAUAAUGUGUUUAUAACUCAUUAUACAUGUAUUUAUUAUGCGUUAUAGAGAUAGGCAUCAAGUAAAGUGUUACCAUAAUUUCCUUUAAAUCCAAAUUUAUUAUUUAAGCACAUUUAGAAACAACAAAAUGUUGACCAAAGUGCUGUACAGUAAAAUGAUAAAUCAGACGAUUAACACAAACUAUGAAAAACACAGACAGUAAAAACAGGAGGGCAUAAAUGGUUCGUUGAAAACAUUAAUAAAAGCCAAAUUCUUAAAAGCUGAAAGACUAAAAGAGCGUUUUUUACGUUUGAUUUAAAGACAGGCAGUGAAAAGUUCCGUCACCCCUGAGCUUCAACCUUGACCGACCUCAGGACAGUCAGAAGACACCGGUCAGAGGAUCUGAGAGUCUGAGUGUAGCGACUGCUUUCCUUCAACAAAAACGCUUGUCUCUGCGAUCCGUUAGUUCAUCAGUCCGGUUGAGUGUUAAAGGUGAUUUAUUGUUCAAAUAAAGAAGGAAAACUUACAGUCUAACACUGAUCCAGAUCCAAACUUUGCCUUAAAAUGAAAAGCAAUAAGAUGAAAUGAGGGUGAAAAGGGAUAAGUGAAAAACGGUCAACGGAAAACUAUCAGAGCCAAACAUCCUGAAACCACUCAGUGUCGAAGUGACACACCGAUUUGACAAGGUUAGGAAGAUAAAAAGGAGCAAGCCCGUUUAAAGAUUUUUAAGUUAAUAAAAUUCUUCACACAGAAAUCCAAUGAAGAGAGAGUCAAAUUGGAAAAAACAUGGUCAUAUUUUCAUCGAUCAGUUUAAAGAUGAGCUGCUGCAUGUUGAACAACUCAGAGAGGUUUGUCUGGCCCCAAAAUAAAGAGCAUCACAGUUAACAAGACAAGCUGUGCAUUCCUUUUUAAAAUCACUAAAAGAUAAAAGAGACUUCACCUUAGUUAAAAGAGGAAGAUGAUAAAAACUGGCACUUCUACACUCUACCACACUUUAAAAUUUGACUCUCCACCAUCAGCUGUUUAAAUUCUUGUCCUCGACUCUCAGUUUAAAUAAAGUUUCCUCCAGACAUGAUGAUAAAUCACUGACUUCAUCUGCACGGCUCGGCCAUGAUGGAUCAUUUGAAUCAGCGCAGUGUUACUAAUUAUUCGAUUAAUGGCGGACCCCACUGAGUGUCAACACCCAUAAUCCCUUGCUGCUUUUGAGGGGAAUGCCAAUAAGGGAGCCACAUGCUAAGAGGCUGAGUGCAGAUUGCAUGCGACCACUAUUGACUGAGCGGUGGGGAAAUGUCCGCACUGAUUGUGACCUAAAGCCUCUGAGAUGUCCUGAGAUGAUUCCAGUGAGACGAUAAGGAGAAGAGGGGGACAUAACCUCAUAUCAUGUGCUGAGAUUUAUGCCCCUGAUUAUAUUAUAGUUGAUUGUAUCAUGUGUUUUUAUGCAUUAUUAUAUCAGAAACUUUCAUAAGCGGAUUUCUGCAAACUCUGAUUUCUCUUUUUUGCGGUCAAAAGGUGGAUUUAGCAUCAGGACUUAAUUUCGCUGAAGGCCUCAAGGACCAGCAUUUAUCCCUCUGUCACUGUCUGUGUACCUUCAGUGGGAGCCCGCGGUGGUCCCCGUGGACUCUUGUCACCGGACUGUCAGGAACAGGCUGCGAACACAACACGGCGUCACUUCACGGAUCAAUAAGUGAAGACGAGAUGAACGAGGUCAGAGGGAGAGAGAGAAGAUGGAUGAGAAGCGUCCCCCCUCGUUUGUUCGCCUGUUCACACUCUGCUCUGCAUUACCUGGAUCACAGAGCACACACUCCCUGUGGGGCACACACACACACACACACACACACACACACACACACACUUUUACGUACACAGAGGAACAGCGGGCAAACAAUCAAUUUACACCACUUAGUUUGUCAUUUGGAGUUUAUCAUUUGGUUUUUAUCACCGCUCUGUAUUGAUUCCCGACAGGAGGAGACACAAAGUGAUUUCAGUGAGAAAAACUGAGCGCCAAAAUCUUCUUCGUCGUUUAGAGGGAGAGACGAUUUUUAUAAAAGCCGAGGAUGGCAGAAAAAAAAGGGUUUUGGAUAACCUGAUUAUUAAAGUCCAUCUCAAAUCCCAACUUUAAUCCAAUUUAAUCCUGCAUGCCAACAAAUUAAUAGAGCUGCAGUAAUAGUGUCAGUCCCAUACAACAUAUUUAAUAUGACGUGUUGGUCCAUUUGAUAAAGAUCAGCUUUACGCUGACUAAAUAUGUGUUUUGUUGGUCUUAUACGUGUAAUCUGGUGAAUUAAUCCAAUGUGUUUACAACAGUAUUUGAUAGCUUGUAAAUAUAAAUAGUGCAAAGACAACCAAUAUUGAAGCUAGGUCUGUCACAAUGUCCUGGUAUUGACGAUAACAGCAUAUGCUUAUACCUGGAGUUUAUGACUGUGGUUGCCACAGAAGAAGCAACAGCCAUACUUGGACUUCUUUAGGCUAACUGUCUUCACACACCAAGCGGGAGUAAAAUCAUUUGUGCAAAUAAAUUCAAUGUUAAGUCAAUGCAAAGACGCAAUUAGUCGCUACUACUACUCUGGCGGCAUAAAUGACGCGAAUCAGGCGGGAGCUGAAAAUGUCUCAACUUGAGCGAAUAUUCCCGUCGCGAUAACUAAUCAUGAAGAAGGUUGCCGGGUGACGUAUGAAAACAGACUGUUGUUCAUCUGAAAUGGAGAAAAAACUGAUUGUGUUGGUGUGCCUGGUUAGUUGUAAAAAAAAAAACAAACCUUUGUCUAUCACUUGAUCCCGCCGGUUGAGUUGGCAGGGAUUACCGUUGAAAUUACCGCUGAUACGCGAAUGAAGCGAGUAAAUACUAUUCAUUCAGGAGUCUAGAUUUGAGCGAAUUAAGCGAGGAGAUGAUUUUACUCGCGCUUGCUGUGAGCGCCCCGUAAAUAUUUUUUUCUUGUUAAGUGUUAUUUUAACGUUUUUCUGUAACUUGCGAUCUACUGAAAGUAGUAAACUUCAAAAUAAAAGUUUAACCAAGCAGAAAAUAAAGCAUCUGAACACCGGACGGAAAAACCAAGAAAUCCUAAUGAAGCUGAGAAUCGACAUGACUCUGUAGUGGAAGUUACUACAUUGGCCCAAAAUCACAUCCUAAAACAGUGUCUGUGCAUCUAAAACGCAGGUUCACAUGAGGUCUUAACUCUGUUGAAAUGGAGGUAGAAUAAUAUAAUAUUGUGUUUCUGCACAUUUGAAUAGAAUAGAAUAGAAUAUUCCUUUAUUGAUUUGUCACAGCAGCAUCACAGACAAAAAUGCAGUUAUAAAAAUAAGGAUCCUAAUAUUAAGAAAUUUAAAUAAAUGUAAUAAUUAAGAAAAAAAAUAGAAAAAGGAAAAAGGGAGAAGAAAAAUAAAACUAUCUACAAUAUACACAAUUUAAGUACCAGAAGAAAGUGGUGGUGUGAGUCCAGUUAUUAUUACAGUUCGUUGUGAAGUCUUAUUGCAGAGGGGAGGAAUGACCUGCGGCUCCGUCUUGUAAGGUGGAAGUCUCAGUCUGCAGCUGAAGGAGCUGCCUAAAGCCCCCACAGUCUGAUUCAGUGGGUGAGAGGGAUUGUCCAUGAUGGAUACAAGCUUUGUUAACAUCCUCCUCUCACCCACCUCCUCCAGGGAGUCCAAAGAACAGUCCAGGACAGACCCGGCCCUCCUGACCAGUCUGUUCAGUCUCUUCCUGUCCCUCUCGGUGCUCCCUGCCCCCCAGCAGACCACCGCAUAGAAAAGUGCAGAUGCCACCACAGAGUCAUAGAAAGUCCUGAGCAGAGUCCUGCACACUCCAAAAGACCUCAGUCUCCUCAGCAGGUGGAGACGACUUUGGCCCUUCUUGUACAGAACGUCUGUGUUUGUUGACCAGUCCAGUUUGUUGUUGAGGUGGACACCCAGGAAUCUGUAGGACAGUCUGAGGUGUCCUCCUCCUGCAGAAAUCCACAACCAUCUCCUUUGUCCUACUGGCGUUGAGCUGGAGGUGG
Molecule: long non-coding RNA, 18401 nt
Filed under: Xyrichtys novacula (pearly razorfish)
Lineage: Eukaryota; Metazoa; Chordata; Actinopteri; Labriformes; Labridae
Source: RNAcentral